AGAGAGAGAUGUUGUAAGGCAGACAUGGUGUGGAUUUUGCAUCUAAGUAUAUCAUUGAGGUCGACUACCCGUGGUCCUGAUAUUACUUAUUUGUGAUCUGCAAGAGAAGCCGAGGGACGCUCUGAACGGAGAGGGAGAGAGAGGUUUCUGCCCGGAUGGACCCUGCUGUUUUCUCGCCCCUGACCGUCUUCACUACUGAUGAACUAACUGCUAACUGCCCGUUUCUGAUCGCCCCCACUAACAAACUCAUUGGACUCGUGAGUACUAACUGGAACUAAAGUGCACGUGUUUUGUUUAUUGUUCAGUUUGAGUGAAGCGGCCAUCAGUUUUAGGCCUCACCGCACCCGAACUUCGAAUCAGGCCUGCAACAAGCACUGUGCUCAUAGCUGGACUGGCCAUCGGGCAUACCGGGCAAAUGCCCGGUUUUUUUCCGUAACGGUAUAAACACUGAAAGGUGGUGGAUUGGCCAGAUGAAGGGAGAUGUGUAAAAAUAACUCAAUUGUUUGAUGGUGGCUAUUGCGGAGCUUCUACAGAUUCAGUAACAUUAGCAAGUGGUGGAGGCCAGCAGAUGCAACAUGCUGGCAGGUGGAUGACGGAAAGGCAGGAGGAGCAGAGACCCGAGGCGGUGAACUGAACUUCAGGAAAACCAGAUUACAGUGCGCAGGCUGCGGCUCGCCCAGCAGGAGACAGGUGACUUCUUCAGUGUCAGCUGACUGCAGGUCUCCAACCUUAUAAACAGCACAUUUGCACAAUGACUGACACCAGCACCACUGAAUGAACACUGG
Molecule: long non-coding RNA, 785 nt
Organism: Pelmatolapia mariae (spotted tilapia)
Lineage: Eukaryota; Metazoa; Chordata; Actinopteri; Cichliformes; Cichlidae
Exons: 3
Source: RefSeq, a predicted model, not a curated record